Molecule: long non-coding RNA, 855 nt
Filed under: Homo sapiens (human)
Lineage: Eukaryota; Metazoa; Chordata; Mammalia; Primates; Hominidae
Description: HSALNT0006856
Source: RNAcentral
GCGUGUUCUGUGCAGGUGCAGACCUGAAGGAGCGGGAACAGAUGAGUGAAGCAGAGGUGGGGGUGUUUGUCCAGCGACUCCGGGGCCUGAUGAAUGACAUCGGUGAGGAUCUGGGUGUGGGGUGGAGGAGGGGGUUUGGGGGUCCCUGCCGAUGACAGUCCCGCUACCCCCACCAGCAUCUAAGGAGAGUCUUCUUUCUGUUUGGAGUUCUGUGAUAAGACAGAUGACUCACCCAGGGGGAUGGAGGAGGAUGACCGAGGGCAGUUCUCUCAGAGAGGGAGUUCUGGCUCUUCAGCUUUUGUGUCCCGCCCCACCCUCAGGGUUCAAGCCUGGCCAUUCCAAAGCAGUUAAGUUUCCCCAAGCAUGCUUUCAAGUUUUGACAAUUGCUGUUACCUUUGCCUGAGAUACCCCUUCUUGGUUACUUGAACUUUUACUUGUCCUUCAAGCCCUCCAGUACCUCCUCCUCCAGGAAGCCUUCCCAACCCACCCUCUGAGCUUUUUAUUGGAGCACUGAUGAUCCUGGGUCAAUAAUGCCUGAUACACAUUUGUCUUCCCCAUGAGACUGAGCCCCAUGGGAACAAAGGCUAUGUCUGAUUCAUUCUGUGUUCCCAGUUCCCAGCACCCAGCACAGGGCUUGGCACAAAGAAAGGGAGGCCCCAGGGAGGCCAGCGGAUUAGGCCUGAACAGGGAUCAUCCAGCCCAUCCUCCCAUUCCUCUUCCCUGGCUGAUUCUGUAACUUUCCCUAAAGGGAAAAUUGGCUUCUGAGAUAACCUGGCUGCGGGAAGCAGAGGUUGUCGUGAGCAGAGAUUGUGCCAUUGCACUCCAGCCUGGGCAACAACAGCGAGACUCCAUCUC